GUGUGUGCUGUUAGAUCGCAAAUGGAUAGAGACUGUUUGAGAAAAAGAGACUUUUAUUUUGAAAAAGGAAAUUGAGACUUUCCAGUCCUCAUGCCAGAAAUCAGGAAGUGCAGAGUUAUUUUCAAGCACAUGCAGUGAGAGGCUGUGAAGCACAUGUUGUGAGCUGCUGUUGAAAAUAGAUGAAGUGGGGAAGGACUUUACUUGCUGGGCAUUUCCAGGGAUGCUACUGGUUUUCAACCUAACCAAAUGAAAAACUUCUGAUUAUUUGCCUAACUACAAAUUUUGAACAUGGAAAACUGUCUAAAUAAAGCAAAGAAGAAGGA
Sander lucioperca (pikeperch) is the source of this 323-nucleotide long non-coding RNA. RefSeq lists it as uncharacterized. The transcript is spliced from 3 exons. Lineage: Eukaryota; Metazoa; Chordata; Actinopteri; Perciformes; Percidae. The record is from RefSeq and is a predicted model, not a curated record.